RNAcentral lists this transfer RNA (58 nucleotides) under Apaloderma vittatum (bar-tailed trogon). It matches the Rfam family "tRNA", at positions 8 to 63 of the family's 71-position model. Rfam says of the family: Transfer RNA (tRNA) molecules are approximately 80 nucleotides in length. Their secondary structure includes four short double-helical elements and three loops (D, anti-codon, and T loops). The record is from Rfam by way of RNAcentral. Lineage: Eukaryota; Metazoa; Chordata; Aves; Trogoniformes; Trogonidae.
UAGCUCAGUCGGUUGAGCAUAGUGCUGAUAACACCAAGGUCGCAGGUUCGAUUCCCGU